AUAUCUAUCAAAAGUCGAUGUUUGUCCUGACAUUAUCUUCAUUACACCCUUGUUCACCUUUGGCCAGAAUCAGGAGAACCAUCUUCAUAAGACACCAGGCCCCUCUUUCCAUUAGGACUUCCUGAUGAUGACCUAGACCUGUCUCUGCUCACUCGUUUGGGAGACUGGGAGUCCAAUGACGACUGCGAUACUGAUGGGCUCCGGCUACAAGGAGACCUCUCAGCCUGUGGGGAGCCACGAAAUCUAGGUGCAUUAACUGGGGAAAGACUCUUAACUGGGCUACGACUAGGACUGUAGCGACGAUUACGGUAGCGAGGGCUUCGUGAUAACGACGGGCUCCUUGUUCUGCUUCUCCUGCCUCUGUAUCUGGGAGGAGUUCUUCCUCUUGGUGGGCUUCUAUACCGCCUAGGUGAAUA
Molecule: unclassified non-coding RNA, 416 nt
Filed under: Hevea brasiliensis (rubber tree)
Lineage: Eukaryota; Viridiplantae; Streptophyta; Magnoliopsida; Malpighiales; Euphorbiaceae
Source: RNAcentral